RNAcentral lists this long non-coding RNA (1810 nucleotides) under Anolis carolinensis (green anole). RNAcentral's name for it is "lncRNA (ENSACAG00000032799.2)". Lineage: Eukaryota; Metazoa; Chordata; Lepidosauria; Squamata; Anolidae. The record is from RNAcentral.
AAUGCAGCUGGCGAGAUGAUGAAUGGUGUAGCAGGGAUGUUCUCUUCCCCCAAGGGAACUGGAACAGGUAGUCUCCAAGCUGGCCAGAUCUCUGGAAAAGGAAGUCUAAAUGGACAAGGAGCUGUGUCAUCCCCUGAAGGAAGCGGAAAGAGAGGUUCCUUACUAGGACAGUCUAUUAAUGCAGCUGGCGAGAUGAUGAAUGGUGUAGCAGGGAUGUUCUCUUCCCCCAAGGGAACUGGAACAGGUAGUCUCCAAGCUGGCCAGAUCUCUGGAAAAGGAAGUCUAAAUGGACAAGGAGCUGUGUCUUCCCCUGAAGGAAGCGGAAAGAGAGGUUCCUUACUAGGACAGUCUAUUAAUGCAGCUGGCGAGAUGAUGAAUGGUGUAGCAGGGAUGUUCUCUUCCCCCAAGGGAACUGGAACAGGUAGUCUCCAAGCUGGCCAGAUCUCUGGAAAAGGAAGUCUAAAUGGACAAGGAGCUGUGUCUUCCCCUGAAGGAAGCGGAAAGAGAGGUUCCUUACUAGGACAGUCUAUUAAUGCAGCUGGCGAGAUGAUGAAUGGUGUAGCAGGGAUGUUCUCUUCCCCCAAGGGAACUGGAACAGGUAGUCUCCAAGCUGGCCAGAUCUCUGGAAAAGGAAGUCUAAAUGGACAAGGAGCUGUGUCAUCCCCUGAAGGAAGCGGAAAGAGAGGUUCCUUACUAGGACAGUCUAUUAAUGCAGCUGGCGAGAUGAUGAAUGGUGUAGCAGGGAUGUUCUCUUCUGCAACAGGGGCAGGAAAGGGAAAUGGUUUGUUCUCUCAAUCCAGCUCUAGCUCAGGGACAAAUACGGGCAAAAUCUCAGGCAGCGUAUCUUCCAUGAGGGGCAGUCGACAAGGAAAGGCCUCAAGAGUCAGUCUCCCCAGUUUCUCACGUCGGAAGCUUCUUAGUUUGGAUCUAAAUCUCCAAAAAGGAGAAGCAGGCAUUUUGCCUGGUGCUUCCCCGAAUUCACCUGGGCUUCCUAAUGACCUUCUGGGCCCUGCAUCUUCUUCACCUGCGAGCGGCCAAGAAACUGCAAACCUCCCUCCUUCCGUCAUCGUCCGUGUCCAGAAGGGAACCAAUAACCAAGCUCUCGAGCAGCUCAAAUCAGAAGGCGGCAAGAUCCAAUUCAUCCCACUGGGACCUCCAGAAUCCUCCGGCGAUGCUCUCCUGUAACGAUAUGCAGACGCGCUGCACAUCCAAGAGAAGGCGUGAGCAGAAGAACCACGGCCACUUUGCCGGCAGGACUCUGAAUCAUGUCGAAUCGCUGCUGCUUUUUGCUUCUGACCCUGGAGCUCUUCCCCCUUCCUCCUCCACCUCCCCUUCAACCUGCAACUGAGACUAGAAAUGGCGUUUUUGGAUGCACAAUCCACCCCUGGACUCUUUCUAUCUAUCAUUGAAAGGCGGAACAGAAACGCUAUAAAUAAUUGCAGGAUCUGAUGGACAUGCUUCCCAACUGCGCUGCUGCUUUGAAUGCACAUGUCUGGCAAAAUUAAUAAAUCAUGCAUUGGAUAAAAUCACCUGUCUUUUCUUUCUUUCUUUCUUUCUUUCUUUCUUUCUUUCUUUCUUUCUUUCUUUCUUUCUUUGGUGUUUUCAGUUCUUUGUUCUCUGGCACUGGGAACCUAAAUGCCCCUUUGAGGGAGACAUGUAUUUCCCAAAAUACCAACCAACAAACAUCACCAGUUGGCAAUUCAUUUGUUUUUUUGAAAAAAAUGGGCUUGCUAGGCAGAGGAUUUCCCAUUUCACAGACCUAGCAAUGGCUAUAUACACCUUUAUAUUGCUGCAAUACAGCAGGGGGGUG